GGGAAUAGCUCAGCUGGUAGAGCACGACCUUGCCAAGGUCGGGGUCGCGAGUUCGAAUCUCGUUUCCC
RNAcentral lists this transfer RNA (68 nucleotides) under Pseudopedinella elastica. It matches the Rfam family "tRNA". Rfam says of the family: Transfer RNA (tRNA) molecules are approximately 80 nucleotides in length. Their secondary structure includes four short double-helical elements and three loops (D, anti-codon, and T loops). RNAcentral also lists the same sequence under 1 other name. Lineage: Eukaryota; Dictyochophyceae; Pedinellales. The record is from RNAcentral.